RNAcentral lists this ribosomal RNA (460 nucleotides) under uncultured bacterium. RNAcentral's name for it is "partial 16S ribosomal RNA". It matches the Rfam family "Bacterial small subunit ribosomal RNA", at positions 338 to 795 of the family's 1533-position model. The record is from RNAcentral.
CCUACGGGCGGCAGCAGUGAGGAAUAUUGGUCAAUGGACGGAAGUCUGAACCAGCCAUGCCGCGUGCAGGAAGACGGCUCUAUGAGUUGUAAACUGCUUUUGUACAAGGGUAAACCUGAAUACGUGUAUUCAGCUGAAAGUACUGUACGAAUAAGGAUCGGGUAACUCCGUGCCAGCAGCCGCGGUAAUACGGAGGAUCCAAGCGUUAUCCGGAUUUAUUGGGUUUAAAGGGUGCGUAGGCGGAUUGAUAAGUUAGAGGUGAAAUGUCCGAGCUCAACUCGGGAACUGCCUCUAAUACUGUUGGUCUAGAGAGUAGAUGCGGUAGGCGGAAUGUAUGGUGUAGCGGUGAAAUGCUUAGAGAUCAUACAGAACACCGAUUGCGAAGGCAGCUUACCAAUCUAUAUCUGACGUUGAGGCACGAAAGCGUGGGGAGCAAACAGGAUUAGAUACCCUAGUAGUC